GCAAUAACUAAGUUGUCUUUUCUUUGCUACUUGGAAUCAGAUGCAUGAUUGGAUUGUGCAUUCUACCAAAGGUGCAUAAUGGAGCAUAUUUACACUGUCUGGAUUAAGAGAAAUAGUAGAAUAUUUGAGAAGAAGGAGAGAAAUUGGACUGUUUUGGGCAGAGAAAUAGCUUGUAUCUGUAGUAUUAGAGCCAUCACUUGUAGAUUGAGAUUUUGAGAGAAGAAGAAGAUAAAAUGGCAUAGAUACACUGAUAACACAAAGAAGAAGAAGAAGA
Molecule: long non-coding RNA, 274 nt
Filed under: Capsicum annuum
Lineage: Eukaryota; Viridiplantae; Streptophyta; Magnoliopsida; Solanales; Solanaceae
Description: long non-coding RNA (CANN_LNC009491)
Source: RNAcentral